UUUAGCUUAGAGCAAAUAUUUUUUUAUCGUUGUAUUUCAUUAAAUUGUCACUUUUCUGUCGUAAUUGACAGGAAACCAAGAUGUCCCUCAACAUAUAAGAACUAUCUCGGUCCUGUGUGAAUGUAAAUAUAUCGUUGUUAAACUAAAUAUCGAUAUACAAACUAAAAAAUACGGAUAUUUCAUGGUAACUAGGCUAGUUAGCUACCGCUAGCUUCUUGUUAGCUUGGUUGUUAGCUGCUAAGUGCUGCUAUCACGGAUACAAAGAGGAUGAAUCCCUCCAUGUUGUUCCUCGCUCUUCCUGUCCUGAAGGAUCUGGUCUGUGUCUCUGUGACUCUGCAGCAGGAGGACGAGGAUCUGAGGAGCACACGGAUCAAGACCUGCAGAGAGCUGGUUCUCCUCUACUCUGAUAUUUUGGCCUCUCCAGCUCUGGACUCCUUCUCUGACAUCACAGUGAUCACAUCU
Anarrhichthys ocellatus (wolf-eel) is the source of this 462-nucleotide long non-coding RNA. RefSeq lists it as uncharacterized. Lineage: Eukaryota; Metazoa; Chordata; Actinopteri; Perciformes; Anarhichadidae. The transcript has 3 exons. The record is from RefSeq and is a predicted model, not a curated record.